UAAGGUGACUAUAGCGGCAGUGUCCACCUCUUCCCAUUCCGAACAGAGAAGUUAAGCCUGCCCGCGCAGAUGGUACUUGGUUAACACCUGGGAGAGUAUGUCGUCGCCAACU
RNAcentral lists this ribosomal RNA (112 nucleotides) under Bacteroidales bacterium. The record is from RNAcentral. Lineage: Bacteria; Pseudomonadati; Bacteroidota; Bacteroidia; Bacteroidales.